RNAcentral lists this ribosomal RNA (301 nucleotides) under uncultured bacterium. Its description in RNAcentral is "partial 16S ribosomal RNA". It matches the Rfam family "Bacterial small subunit ribosomal RNA", at positions 509 to 807 of the family's 1533-position model. The record is from RNAcentral.
CAGCAGCCGCGGGAAAACGGUGGGUGCAAGCGUUAAUCGGAAUUACUGGGCGUAAAGGGCGCGUAGGUGGUUAUUUAAGUGAGAUGUGAAAGCCCCGGGCUUAACCUGGGAACUGCAUCUUAUACUGGGUAACUGGAGUGCAGUAGAGGGUAGUGGAAUUUCCGGUGUAGCGGUGAAAUGCGUAGAUAUCGGAAGGAACACCAGUGGCGAAGGCGGCUACCUGGACUGAGACUGACACUGAGGCGCGAGAGCGUGGGGAGCAAACAGGAUUAGAUACCCCAGUAGUCCCUGUCUCUUAUAC